GCCCAGAGCAGCAGCAGAGAGCAGAUUCCCCUGGACCCAGCUGUGUCUCCAUGAAGAGUGAGUGGUCUAUGGGUAGACCUCCUAGCUUUAAAGAUGGACGCCCCUCCAGAGAGGAGAGCCCAGAGCAGCAGCAGAGAGCAGAUUCCCCUGGACCCAGCUGUGUCUCCAUGAAGAGUGAGUGGUCUAUGGGUAGACCUCCUAGCUUUAAAGAUGGACGCCCCUCCAGAGAGGAGAGCCCAGAGCAGCAGCAGAGAGCAGGUUCCCCUGGAUCCAGCUGUGUCUCCAUGAAGAGUGAGUGGUCUAUGGGUAGACCUCCUAGCUUUAAAGAUGGACGCCCCUCCAGAGAGGAGAGACCCCAGGAGAGGUCAAAGGUUACCAGUGCUCAGUCUGUA
Gadus morhua (Atlantic cod) is the source of this 392-nucleotide long non-coding RNA. RefSeq lists it as uncharacterized. The record is from RefSeq and is a predicted model, not a curated record. NCBI's taxonomy places the organism in Eukaryota, Metazoa, Chordata, Actinopteri, Gadiformes, Gadidae. The transcript is spliced from 4 exons.